RNAcentral lists this ribosomal RNA (254 nucleotides) under uncultured Pseudomonas sp. RNAcentral's name for it is "partial 16S ribosomal RNA". It matches the Rfam family "Bacterial small subunit ribosomal RNA", at positions 99 to 354 of the family's 1533-position model. The record is from RNAcentral. Lineage: Bacteria; Pseudomonadati; Pseudomonadota; Gammaproteobacteria; Pseudomonadales; Pseudomonadaceae.
CGGACGGGUGAGUAAUGCCUAGGAAUCUGCCUGGUAGUGGGGGACAACGUUUCGAAAGGAACGCUAAUACCGCAUACGUCCUACGGGAGAAAGCAGGGACCUUCGGGCCUUGCGCUAUCAGAUGAGCCUAGGUCGGAUUAGCUAGUUGGUGAGGUAAAUGGCUCACCAAGGCGACGAUCCGUAACUGGUCUGAGAGGAUGAUCAGUCACACUGGAACUGAGACACGGUCCAGACUCCUACGGGAGGCAGCAGAU